Molecule: ribosomal RNA, 106 nt
Filed under: uncultured bacterium
Lineage: Bacteria
Description: partial 16S ribosomal RNA
Rfam family: Bacterial small subunit ribosomal RNA
Source: RNAcentral
GAGGAAUAUUGGUCAAUGGGCGAAAGCCUGAACCAGCCAUGCCGCGUGAAGGAUGACGGCCCUAUGGGUUGUAAACUUCUUUUAUACGGGAAGAAACUUCUCUACG